Molecule: ribosomal RNA, 407 nt
Filed under: uncultured bacterium
Lineage: Bacteria
Description: partial 16S ribosomal RNA
Rfam family: Bacterial small subunit ribosomal RNA
Source: RNAcentral
AUUGAACGCUGGCGGCAGGCCUAACACAUGCAAGUCGAGCGGAGCGGCGGACGGGUGAGUAAUGCCUAGGAAUCUGCCUGGGAGAGGGGGAUAACGUCCGGAAACGGGCGCUAAUACCGCAUACUAUCAGAUGAGCCUAGGUCGGAUUAGCUAGUUGGUGGGUUAAAGGCCUACCAAGGCGGCGAUCCGUAAAUGGUGUGAGAGGAUGAUCAGUCAAAUUGGAACGGAGACACGGUCCAGACUCUAACGGGAGGCAGAAGUGGGGAAUAUUGGACAAUGGGCGAAAGCCUGAUCCAGCCAUGCCGCGUGUUUAAAGAAGGUCUUCGGAUUGUAAAGCACGUUAAGUUGGGAGGCGUUACCAACAGAAUAAGCACCGGCUAACUUCGUGCCAGCAGCCGCGGUAAUUC